CUUCCAGCCAGUCUGGAGGCAACCGUAACAGUCCCCUCUCACAAUAUUACUACAGACAUGGCUACCGGCCUGGGUAUGUAAGUUGAGAGGCGGGGGUACCAACAUCUGGGCCUGCAAUAAGGCAUGCAUAAAAAACUUUUGGUAAGCAAGCUAGACAUAACUCCCAUGGCAAAUACCUGGGUUUUAUUCAUGAAUAUGGACAUGGUAGAGGUAGGGAAAUCAGUGUCAUCUCCAGAAGUCAGCCAUAGGGGAGAACCCUACAGGGAUCUGAAGAGAAGCCUCUGAUACAGAAUAUACAGGCAGGUCCUUAUCAGACUGCAUAGUAACCAAAACAGGAGUUUAAUAGCCCACAGAAUAAAAGUUUGACACCCAAAUAAGCAAACCACCUAAAU
Non-coding RNA from Pelobates cultripes (western spadefoot toad), 392 nucleotides. The record is from the annotation of a GenBank genome assembly. Lineage: Eukaryota; Metazoa; Chordata; Amphibia; Anura; Pelobatidae.